This 357-nucleotide ribosomal RNA is filed under the name uncultured bacterium. Its description in RNAcentral is "partial 16S ribosomal RNA". It matches the Rfam family "Bacterial small subunit ribosomal RNA", at positions 338 to 692 of the family's 1533-position model. The record is from RNAcentral.
CCUACGGGAGGCAGCAGUGAGGAAUAUUGGUCAAUGGACGAGAGUCUGAACCAGCCAAGUAGCGUGAAGGAUGACUGCCCUAUGGGUUGUAUACUUCUUUUAUAUGGGAAUAAAAUGUUCCACGUGUGGGAUUUUGUAUGUACCAUAUGAAUAAGAAUCGUCUAACUCCGUGCCAGCAGCCGCGGUAAUACGGAGGAUGCGAGCGUUAUCCGGAUUUAUUGGGUUUAAAGGGAGCGUAGUUGGAUUGUUAAGUCAGUUGGGAAAGUUUGCGGCUCAAACGUAAAAUGGCAGUUGAAACUGGCAGUAUUGAGGACAGUAGAGGUGGGCGGAAAUCGUGGUGUAGCGGUGAAAUGCUAA